AAGACUAUACUUUCAGGGAUCAUUUCUAUAGUUUGUAACUAGAGAAGUGUAGCCGAAAGUGUCUGACCUUACUACUUUGGCUAUUUCUAUGCAGAUUGAUAGU
This 103-nucleotide small nucleolar RNA is filed under the name Terrapene triunguis (Three-toed box turtle). RNAcentral's name for it is "Terrapene carolina triunguis (Three-toed box turtle) Small nucleolar RNA U3 (ENSTMTG00000007055.1)". It matches the Rfam family "Small nucleolar RNA U3". From Rfam's summary of the family: Small nucleolar RNAs (snoRNAs) are involved in the processing and modification of rRNA in the nucleolus. There are two main classes of snoRNAs: the box C/D class, and the box H/ACA class. U3 snoRNA is a member of the box C/D class. The record is from Rfam by way of RNAcentral. Lineage: Eukaryota; Metazoa; Chordata; Testudines; Emydidae.